Non-coding RNA from Peromyscus maniculatus bairdii (prairie deer mouse), 1015 nucleotides. NCBI's taxonomy places the organism in Eukaryota, Metazoa, Chordata, Mammalia, Rodentia, Cricetidae. The record is from RefSeq and is a predicted model, not a curated record.
CCUCGCGGCGAGAUGAGCUAAUCCCUUCACACGCGCCCCGAAAGUGCCGCGGUCCCGUCGUCCCCCCUAACACGCGGCCCGCGGGCCGGAGUCACGUCUCUUUCAAGUCCCGGAGCCCCGAUCUCUGACAGGUCCCAGGAGUCCUAAAGAACAAUGUCGCGUCCGCGGAGCAGGAAAGCGCGCGGCGUGAGGCGGCGGGCGACUCCGGGGAGGCGGCUCUGUGUGAGAGUGCAAAGGAGAAGCUCGGUCACCCUCCUCCCUCGUCUCCUCCUCUCCUUCCUCCUCCUCCUCCCUCGCCUCCACCGCCUCCUCCUCCGUCUCCUCCUCCUCCCGCAAGCACACCCCGUCUCCUAGGCCGCAGCAUAGCAACCGAACAUGGCGGCUGCGCAGCCGCCGGCCAGUCAGAGGCCCGGAACGGCGGCCUCAGCAACAGGAGGCGGUCUCGCGAGAGGGGUUGAGGAAAGAGCACUUGCCUAGUAUACGCACAAGGCCCUGGGUUCCAUCCCCAGCACCCAGUACCCAGCACCCACAUGCUGCAAAGCUUAUCUUUUCUCCAUGUCAACAAAAUGACUUUACCAAUCAGGAAAAUGUGUGCAAAACGUCGGAAAACAGCACUCUGCUCCUACUUUUUCUUGUCCAACUGGUGAUGAGCAUUAGGACACUUGGAAAGCUGAGGCAAGAAGAUCAGGAGUUCAAGAACAUCAUUAGCUAGACAAGGAACUUCCUGAAGGGAGCCUCCGCAGUGGAAGUCACCUAGAUGGGCCUUUUGAAGUUACCAAUACUUACAAGCAUUCCUAGAGAAUUCUAGGUUCAUCUUAAAACUGCCUUCCUGCAGCCCUGGAAAAGAAGGAGCAAGUAAUUGUCAAAGAGAUGAAAAAGAAAAGGAGGAGAACGGAGUUGCUUUACAGGCUGUGUGCUCAGUCAGUAGAGCGCUUGCCUUACGUUCAUGAAACCCUGGGUUUGAUCCUCAGCAGCAAAAAAAAAAAAAAAAAACCGAAACAAAACAGAACCAAAA